GUCUGCGUGGAGCCGACCUUGAAAUACCACCCUUUAAUGUUUGAUGUUCUAACGUGGACCCGUUACCCGGGUUGCGGACAGUGUCUGGUGGGUAGUUUGACUGGGGCGGUCUCCUCCUAAAGAGUAACGGAGGAGCACGAAGGUUGGCUAAUCCUGGUCGGACAUCAGGAGGUUAGUGCAAUGGCAUAAGCCAGCUUGACUGCGAGCGUGACGGCGCGAGCAGGUGCGAAAGCAGGUCAUAGUGAUCCGGUGGUUCUGAAUGGAAGGGCCAUCGCUCAACGGAUAAAAGGUACUCCGGGGAUAACAGGCUGAUACCGCCCAAGAGUUCAUAUCGACGGCGGUGUUUGGCACCUCGAUGUCGGCUCAUCACAUCCUGGGGCUGAAGUAGGUCCCAAGGGUAUGGCUGUUCGCCAUUUAAAGUGGUACGCGAGCUGGGUUUAGAACGUCGUGAGACAGUUCGGUCCCUAUCUGCCGUGGGCGCUGGAGAACUGAGGGGGGCUGCUCCUAGUACGAGAGGACCGGAGUGGACGCAUCACUGGUGUUCGGGUUGUCAUGCCAAUGGCACUGCCCGGUAGCUAAAUGCGGAAGAGAUAAGUGCUGAAAGCAUCUAAGCACGAAACUUGCCCCGAG
RNAcentral lists this ribosomal RNA (630 nucleotides) under Salmonella enterica. Its description in RNAcentral is "partial 23S ribosomal RNA". It matches the Rfam family "Bacterial large subunit ribosomal RNA", at positions 2174 to 2803 of the family's 2925-position model. RNAcentral also lists the same sequence under 1 other name. Lineage: Bacteria; Pseudomonadati; Pseudomonadota; Gammaproteobacteria; Enterobacterales; Enterobacteriaceae. The record is from RNAcentral.